ACUCCUACGGGAGGCAGCAGCUAAGAAUAUUCCGCAAUGGACGGAAGUCUGACGGAGCGACGCCGCGUGGAUGAAGAAGGCCGAAAGGUUGUAAAGUUCUUUUGCUAGGGGAGAAUAAGUGUGGGAGGGAAUGCCUGCACGAUGACAAGGACUAGCGAAUAAGUCCCGGCCAACUACGUGCCAGCAGCCGCGGUAACACGUAGGGGGCGAGCGUUGUUCGGAAUUACUGGGCGUAAAGGGCAUGUAGGCGGCUUGGUAAGCCUGGCGUGAAAGUCUGCAGCUUAACUGUAGGGAUGCGUUGGGAACUGCUUAGCUUGAGUUACGGAGAGGGAGCUGGAAUUCCUGGUGUAGGGGUGAAAUCUGUAGAUAUCAGGAAGAACACCGAUGGCGAAGGCAAGCUUCUGGCCGACAACUGACGCUGAGGUGCGAAAGUGUGGGGAUCAAACAGGAUUAGAUACCCUGGUAGUC
RNAcentral lists this ribosomal RNA (468 nucleotides) under uncultured bacterium. RNAcentral's name for it is "bacterial SSU rRNA". It matches the Rfam family "Bacterial small subunit ribosomal RNA", at positions 335 to 795 of the family's 1533-position model. The record is from RNAcentral.